RNAcentral lists this ribosomal RNA (417 nucleotides) under uncultured bacterium. RNAcentral's name for it is "bacterial SSU rRNA". It matches the Rfam family "Bacterial small subunit ribosomal RNA", at positions 1000 to 1414 of the family's 1533-position model. The record is from RNAcentral.
CCUGAAAGGGUAGGGUGCCCGCAAGGGAGCGUGGAGACAGGUGGUGCAUGGCUGUCGUCAGCUCGUGUCGUGAGAUGUUGGGUUAAGUCCCGCAACGAGCGCAACCCUCACCCCUAGUUGCCACCGGGUAAAGCCGAGCACUCGAGGGGAACUGCCAGCGUCAAGCUGGAGGAAGGCGGGGAUGACGUCAAGUCAUCAUGCCCCUUACGCCCUGGGCUACACACGUGCUACAAUGGCCAGUACAGAGAGAUGCGAGACCGCGAGGUGGAGCCAAUCCCAAAAAGCUGGCCUAAGUUCAGAUUGCAGUCUGCAACUCGACUGCAUGAAGUAGGAAUCGCUAGUAAUCGCGCAUCAGCACGGCGCGGUGAAUACGUUCCCGGGCCUUGUACACACCGCCCGUCACACCACGAAAGCUGG